RNAcentral lists this unclassified non-coding RNA (200 nucleotides) under soil metagenome. Its description in RNAcentral is "partial contains internal transcribed spacer 2 and large subunit ribosomal RNA". The record is from RNAcentral.
GUCAUUAUCACUAAUCAAGCCCGGCUUGCUGUUGGACCUCUUGUCGUUAAAAGACAGGCCCCAAAGAUAAUGGCGGUGUUAUUGAACCCUAGAUGCAACGAGCUUUAACCAGCACGCAUGGUAGUGGUCUUUAACCCGGUCUUUUUUAACCAAUUUCUAAGGUUGACCUCGGAUCAGGUAGGAAUACCCGCUGAACUUAA